GUCCGGGUGGCGGAAUGGCAGACGCGCUAGCUUGAGGUGCUAGUCUCCGUUAGGAGGUAGGGGUUCAAGUCCCCUUUCGGACACCA
This 86-nucleotide transfer RNA is filed under the name Aquiluna borgnonia. RNAcentral describes it as "Aquiluna sp. 15G-AUS-rot tRNA-Leu". It matches the Rfam family "tRNA". From Rfam's summary of the family: Transfer RNA (tRNA) molecules are approximately 80 nucleotides in length. The record is from RNAcentral. RNAcentral also lists the same sequence under 1 other name. Lineage: Bacteria; Bacillati; Actinomycetota; Actinomycetes; Micrococcales; Microbacteriaceae.